GAUGAACGCUAGCGGGAGGCUUAACACAUGCAAGUCGAGGGGCAGCAUAGGGUAGCAAUACUCUGAUGGCGACCGGCAAACGGGUGAGUAACGCGUAUGCAACCUACCCUGUACAGGGGGAUAACCCGGAGAAAUUCGGACUAAUAUCCCGUAAUAAUAUCCGGAGGCAUCUUUGGAUAUUUAAAGUUCCGACGGUACGGGAUGGGCAUGCGUAACAUUAGCUGGUUGGUAAGGUAACGGCUUACCAAGGCUAUGAUGUUUAGGGGUCCUGAGAGGGUGGUCCCCCACACUGGUACUGAGACACGGACCAGACUCCUACGGGAGGCAGCAGUGAGGAAUAUUGGUCAAUGGGCGCAAGCCUGAACCAGCCAUCCCGCGUGCAGGAAGACGGCCCUAUGGGUUGUAAACUGCUUUUCCAGGGAGAGAAACUUACGCACGUGUUGCGUGACUGACGGUACCCCGGGAAUAAGCAUCGGCUAACUCCGUG
Molecule: ribosomal RNA, 487 nt
Filed under: uncultured bacterium
Lineage: Bacteria
Description: bacterial SSU rRNA
Rfam family: Bacterial small subunit ribosomal RNA
Source: RNAcentral